Molecule: long non-coding RNA, 338 nt
Organism: Galeopterus variegatus (Sunda flying lemur)
Lineage: Eukaryota; Metazoa; Chordata; Mammalia; Dermoptera; Cynocephalidae
Exons: 3
Source: RefSeq, a predicted model, not a curated record
GGCCCCCAUCUGCUCCUUGCACCACAUUGCUGUGACAACCGUGGAAGGAAUAGGAAGCACCAAGACGAGGCUGCAUCCUGUGCAGGAGAGAAUUGCCAAAAGCCAUGGCUCCCAGUGCGGAUUCUGUACCCCUGGCAUUGUCAUGAGCAUGUACACCCUGCUCCGGAACCAGCCCGAGCCUACCAUUGAGGAGAUUGAGAAUGCCUUCCAAGGAAACCUGUGCCGCUGCACAGGCUACAGACCCAUCCUCCAGGGCUUCCGGACCUUCGCCAGGGUAAGUGGGGGCCCUAGAGCAGCAGUGGCCCUGCUCCUAAAGCAGCGACACUCAGAAAUCACAG